CUGCCCAGAAGCAGGGGAUAACACUUGGAAACAGGUGCUAAUACCGUAUAACAACAAAAUCCGCAUGGAUUUUGUUUGAAAGGUGGCUUCGGCUAUCACUUCUGGAUGAUCCCGCGGCGUAUUAGUUAGUUGGUGAGGUAAAGGCCCACCAAGACGAUGAUACGUAGCCGACCUGAGAGGGUAAUCGGCCACAUUGGGACUGAGACACGGCCCAAACUCCUACGGGAGGCAGCAGUAGGGAAUCUUCCACAAUGGACGAAAGUCUGAUGGAGCAAUGCCGCGUGAGUGAAGAAGGGUUUCGGCUCGUAAAACUCUGUUGUUAAAGAAGAACACCUUUGAGAGUAACUGUUCAAGGGUUGACGGUAUUUAACCAGAAAGCCACGGCUAACUACGUGCCAGCAGCCGCGGUAAUACGUAGGUGGCAAGCGUUGUCCGGAUUUAUUGGGCGUAAAGCGAGCGCAGGCGGUUUUUUAAGUCUGAUGUGAAAGCCUUCGGCUUAACCGGAGAAGUGCAUCGGAAACUGGGAGACUUGAGUGCAGAAGAGGACAGUGGAACUCCAUGUGUAGCGGUGGAAUGCGUAGAUAUAUGGAAGAACACCAGUGGCGAAGGCGGCUGUCUAGUCUGUAACUGACGCUGAGGCUCGAAAGCAUGGGUAGCGAACAGGAUUAGAUACCCUGGUAGUCCAUGCCGUAAACGAUGAGUGCUAAGUGUUGGAGGGUUUCCGCCCUUCAGUGCUGCAGCUAACGCAUUAAGCACUCCGCCUGGGGAGUACGACCGCAAGGUUGAAACUCAAAGGAAUUGACGGGGGCCCGCACAAGCGGUGGAGCAUGUGGUUUAAUUCGAAGCUACGCGAAGAACCUUACCAGGUCUUGACAUCUUCUGCCAAUCUUAGAGAUAAGACGUUCCCUUCGGGGACAGAAUGACAGGUGGUGCAUGGUUGUCGUCAGCUCGUGUCGUGAGAUGUUGGGUUAAGUCCCGCAACGAGCGCAACCCUUAUUAUCAGUUGCCAGCAUUCAGUUGGGCACUCUGGUGAGACUGCCGGUGACAAACCGGAGGAAGGUGGGGAUGACGUCAAAUCAUCAUGCCCCUUAUGACCUGGGCUACACACGUGCUACAAUGGACGGUACAACGAGUCGCGAAGUCGUGAGGCUAAGCUAAUCUCUUAAAGCCGUUCUCAGUUCGGAUUGUAGGCUGCAACUCGCCUACAUGAAGUUGGAAUCGCUAGUAAUCGCGGAUCAGCA
Molecule: ribosomal RNA, 1241 nt
Filed under: Levilactobacillus brevis
Lineage: Bacteria; Bacillati; Bacillota; Bacilli; Lactobacillales; Lactobacillaceae
Description: bacterial SSU rRNA
Rfam family: Bacterial small subunit ribosomal RNA
Source: RNAcentral